AUGAACAGUGCCAAUGCAAGCAUAGGGAGAGGAGAAUAUAUGCACAUGAGAUGUGCUGCUCAUAUUCUAAACUUGAUAGUUACCGAUGGGCUAAAAGAGUUUGAUAUCUCGAUGAAGCGAGUCCGUGCUGCAGUCAAGUUUGUUAAGAAUUCUCCAGCUAGAAUUACUAAGUUCAAGAAGUGUGCUGAAUUAGAGAAGUUGGCAAACAAAGGUUUCUUGUCACUUGAUGUAUGCACUAGAUGGAACUCCACAUUCUUAAUGUUGAAAGCUGCAGCCACAUAUGAGAAGGUGUUCGUGAGGUAUGAAGAAGAGGACCCAUACUUUGCAAUUGAGCUAAAUGGCGACAAAAUGCCAGGAGUGCCUGAACCAGAAGAUUGGGAUAAUGCUUCAAAGAUGGCAGAGUUUCUUGAGCAUUUCUAUAAGCUUACCCUUCAUGUUUCAGCCUCAAAUCAUUGCACAUCUCACAUCUUCUUCCAUCAAAUUGCUGAUAUCAUUGUCUUGUUGAGGGCUUGGUGUGGAAGUGGAGACCCUUUGCGGAGAGAGAUGGGAGAAAGGAUGAUGGACAAGUACAACAAGUAUUGGGCAGAUCACAAGAGCUUCAACAUCUUGAUCUUUGUGGCUGUUGCUCUUGAUCCAAGAUACAAGUUGUCAAAUUACAUCAAGAUUGCAACUUUUGAAAUGUUUGGGGAUAUCAAGGGAGAGGAGGUGUGGACAAAAAUGAAUACAACUCUUACAAAUCUGUUCCAAGAGUAUGUUAAGUUAUAUGGUCCAACUGAGCAAGAAGUGCAGCCUGAUGAUGCACCUAGCUUUGAAGAGGACAGCAGCGAAAGCUUUAUGAGUUCCUUGAUUGCAAAGAGAAUGAGAAUGAAUGACUGUGGAAUCAGCAUCACCCCUUCGAAGUCUGAACUUGAAAAGUAUCUUGCGGAGGAUAAUGAAGCAAACAAUAGCAAAUUCAACAUUCUUGAGUGGUGGAAGGUCAACUCAUCUAGAUUCCCUGUGCUAUCACGUUUAGCUCGUGAUGUCCUAGCUUUCCCGAUAUCUACAGUUGCAUCGGAGUCAGCUUUUAGCACCGGUGGACGCAUUCUUGAUGAAUUCCGAAGCUCGCUCACUCCAUUCAUGGUGCAGGCACUAAUUUGCACUCAGGAUUGGUUGCAAAGAGAAAUUCAUGUUAACAAUGAAGAGAAUAAAGAGCUACUGGCCAACCUAGAGGAAGCGGUACUUCAAGAAUUGUCUGAUCUGAGCGUUACUAAUGCAAAGUCCAGUACAAGUGCUGGUGUCCGCAUCACCAUUGAUGACACCGAAUCAUAA
RNAcentral lists this ribosomal RNA (1308 nucleotides) under Triticum aestivum (bread wheat). Its description in RNAcentral is "partial small subunit ribosomal RNA". The record is from RNAcentral. Lineage: Eukaryota; Viridiplantae; Streptophyta; Magnoliopsida; Poales; Poaceae.